RNAcentral lists this ribosomal RNA (378 nucleotides) under uncultured bacterium. RNAcentral describes it as "bacterial SSU rRNA". It matches the Rfam family "Bacterial small subunit ribosomal RNA", at positions 30 to 407 of the family's 1533-position model. The record is from RNAcentral.
AUUGAACGCUGGCGGCAUGCCUUACACAUGCAAGUCGAACGGCAGCACGGGAGCAAUCCUGGUGGCGAGUGGCGAACGGGUGAGUAAUGUAUCGGAACGUACCUUUCAGUGGGGGAUAACGUAGCGAAAGUUACGCUAAUACCGCAUAUUCUGUGAGCAGGAAAGCAGGGGAUCGCAAGACCUUGCGCUGAUUGAGCGGCCGAUAUCAGAUUAGCUAGUUGGUGAGGUAAAGGCUCACCAAGGCGACGAUCUGUAGCGGGUCUGAGAGGAUGAUCCGCCACACUGGAACUGAGACACGGUCCAGACUCCUACGGGAGGCAGCAGUGGGGAAUUUUGGACAAUGGGCGGCAAGCCUGAUCCAGCCAUGCCGCGUGAGUG